This 252-nucleotide long non-coding RNA is filed under the name Ananas comosus (pineapple). Its description in RNAcentral is "long non-coding RNA (ACOM_LNC039253)". The record is from RNAcentral. Lineage: Eukaryota; Viridiplantae; Streptophyta; Magnoliopsida; Poales; Bromeliaceae.
CUACAGUGUUAUCUAUAUUGAAAAGUUUUUCUAGAGCAAGUGACAAAGAGCUUGAUGGUUGAUAUCCGAGACCCAAAUUCGAAUUCUAGUUGAUUCACAUUUCUAGCUAAAUUUAUUUCUAAAUGAAAUAAACGAAGCGGGUAGCGCGCUACCUAUCUCUCAAAAAAAAAAAUAUUAGACAAAUAAUAAAAUUAGGAAGGUAAAGUUUUUGUAAUUUUUAAUUUUUUUAAUUUAAAAAAAUUUUAGUGGUGA